AUCUUACCUUGAAUACAUAGGGGUAAGAAGCGAACUCGGGGAACUGAAACAUCUAAGUACCCGAAGGAAAGGACAUCAACCGAGACUCCGCAAGUAGUGGCGAGCGAACGCGGACCAGGCCAGUGGCAAUGAGGAAUAAAGCGGAACAAGUUGGAAAGCUUGGCCAUAGUGGGUGACAGCCCCGUACGCGUAGAACACUCAUUGUCCUAGAGUAGGGCGGGACACGUGAAAUCCUGUUCGAACAUGGGGAGACCACUCUCCAAGCCUAAGUACUCGUGCAUGACCGAUAGCGAACAAGUACCGUGAGGGAAAGGUGAAAAGCACCCCGACAAGGGGAGUGAAAUAGAACCUCGAAACCGGAUGCCUACAAACAGUAGGAGGGCGAAAGCCUCGACUCGCGUACCUUUUGUAUAAUGGGUCAACGACUUAGUGUAACUCAGCAAGCUUAAGCCGGUAGGUGUAGGCGCAGCGAAAGCGAGUGUUAAUAGCGCGAUUGAGUUAGUUGCAUUAGACCCGAAACCGAGUGAUCUAGCCAUGAGCAGGUUGAAGGUUGGGUAACACCAACUGGAGGACCGAACCCGCAUCUGUUGCAAUAGAUUGGGAUGACUUGUGGUUAGGGGUGAAAGGCCAAUCAAACUCGGAAAUAGCUGGUUCUCCGCGAAAACUAUUUAGGUAGUGCGUCGAUCGAAUACCUCAGGGGGUAGAGCACUGGAUGGGCUAUGGGGACUCACCGUCUUACUGAUCCUAACCAAACUCCGAAUACCUGAGAGUACUAAUCGGCAGACACACGGCGGGUGCUAACGUCCGUCGUGAAGAGGGCAACAACCCUGACCUCCAGCUAAGGUCCCCAAGUCAUGGCUAAGUGGGAAAGGAUGUGAGGAUCCCAAAACAACCAGGAUGUUGGCUUAGAAGCAGCCAUCAUUUAAAGAAAGCGUAACAGCUCACUGGUCUAAAUAAGGGUCUUUGCGCCGAAAAUGUAACGGGGCUAAAGCCAUGCACCGAAGCUGAGGAUGUGCACGUAAGUGUACGUGGUAGCGGAGCGUUCCGUAAGCCUGUGAAGGGACAGUCGUGAGACAUCCUGGAGGUAUCGGAAGUGCGAAUGUUGACAUGAGUAACGAUAAAGGGGGUGAGAGACCCCCUCGCCGAAAGACCAAGGGUUCCUGCUUAAAGUUAAUCUGAGCAGGGUUAGCCGGCCCCUAAGGCGAGGCAGAAAUGCGUAGUCGAUGGGAACCACGUUAAUAUUCGUGGGCCUGGUGGUAGUGACGGAUCACACAAAUUGUACAGUCUUACUGGAUUGAUUGUGCAGUGGAGUGGUUCCAGGAAAUAGCUCCACCGUAUAGACCGUACCCGAAACCGACACAGGUGGUCAGGUAGAGUAUACCAAGGCGCUUGAGAGAACUAUGUUGAAGGAACUCGGCAAAUUGCACGCGUAACUUCGGAAGAAGCGUGACCCCUUUUUACGCAAGUGGAGAGGGGUGGCACAGACCAGGGGGUAGCGACUGUUUAUCAAAAACACAGGGCUCUGCGAAGUCGCAAGACGACGUAUAGGGUCUGACGCCUGCCCGGUGCUGGAAGGUUAAAAGGAGAGGUGCAAGCUUUGAAUUGAAGCCCCAGUAAACGGCGGCCGUAACUAUAACGGUCCUAAGGUAGCGAAAUUCCUUGUCGGGUAAGUUCCGACCUGCACGAAUGGCGUAACGACUUCCCCGCUGUCUCCAACAUAGACUCAGUGAAAUUGAAUUCCCCGUGAAGAUGCGGGGUUCCUGCGGUCAGACGGAAAGACCCCGUGCACCUUUACUAUAGCUUUACACUGGCAUUCGUGUCGGCAUGUGUAGGAUAGGUGGUAGGCUUUGAAGCUUGGACGCCAGUUCGAGUGGAGCCAUCCUUGAAAUACCACCCUUAUCGUCAUGGAUGUCUAACCGCGGUCCGUUAUCCGGAUCCGGGACAGUGUAUGGUGGGUAGUUUGACUGGGGCGGUCGCCUCCGAAAGAGUAACGGAGGCGCGCGAUGGUGGGCUCAGACCGGUCGGAAAUCGGUCGUCGAGUGCAAUGGCAUAAGCCCGCCUGACUGCGAGACUGACAAGUCGAGCAGAGACGAAAGUCGGUCAUAGUGAUCCGGUGGUCCCGCGUGGAAGGGCCAUCGCUCAACGGAUAAAAGGUACGCCGGGGAUAACAGGCUGAUGACCCCCAAGAGUCCAUAUCGACGGGGUUGUUUGGCACCUCGAUGUCGGCUCAUCGCAU
This 2236-nucleotide ribosomal RNA is filed under the name Allorhizobium ampelinum S4. Its description in RNAcentral is "bacterial LSU rRNA". It matches the Rfam family "Bacterial large subunit ribosomal RNA", at positions 150 to 2545 of the family's 2925-position model. The record is from RNAcentral. Lineage: Bacteria; Pseudomonadati; Pseudomonadota; Alphaproteobacteria; Hyphomicrobiales; Rhizobiaceae.